Molecule: ribosomal RNA, 113 nt
Filed under: Salmonella enterica
Lineage: Bacteria; Pseudomonadati; Pseudomonadota; Gammaproteobacteria; Enterobacterales; Enterobacteriaceae
Description: partial 23S ribosomal RNA
Rfam family: Bacterial large subunit ribosomal RNA (bases 1-101)
Source: RNAcentral
UCCUGAAGGAACGUUGAAGACGACGACGUUGAUAGGCCGGGUGUGUAAGCGCAGCGAUGCGUUGAGCUAACCGGUACUAAUGAACCGUGAGGCUUAACCUUACAACGCCAAAG